This 282-nucleotide long non-coding RNA is filed under the name Sorghum bicolor (sorghum). RNAcentral describes it as "long non-coding RNA (SBIC_LNC006224)". The record is from RNAcentral. Lineage: Eukaryota; Viridiplantae; Streptophyta; Magnoliopsida; Poales; Poaceae.
CUAAUCAGGGCCUUUGAAACGCAAUCCAACGGCUAAGAUUAGCCCGUACCCCUUCGCCUGCGAAUUAUUCUAAAGAGCCCCUGGCCUUCUUAUAUAUCAAACCUGCAGUCCAAAGCGGCACUGUGGAAUACGUCAAUGGCUUUUGAAAACGUAUUUCACCUCGGCUUGAUUCAAAAUACGUUUUUAGUAUUUACAAGUUUGCCACUGAUUUUGUUUUAGUCAUAAAAUGCUCAAAUUAACUCCGAUUUGACCCAUUCAAAUUGCGUUGGAUUCGUAAUCACA